Actinomyces sp. oral taxon 180 is the source of this 379-nucleotide non-coding RNA. The record is from Rfam. NCBI's taxonomy places the organism in Bacteria, Bacillati, Actinomycetota, Actinomycetes, Actinomycetales, Actinomycetaceae.
GGGGAUGAUCGGUUUCGACAGUGGUCGUCGAUCGAAGUGAAGCGAGCCGAGGACGUGCGCUCAACUCGUUAACGAUGCGUGCAAACCAAUAGGUGCCGAACAGAAUCGCACCGACUACGUUCUCGCUGCCUGAUAUCGCAGCCUGAACCUUUAGUCCGUCAGCCCGGGAGCUGCUUCCGGCCCGGUGUCUGGCGUCGUCUAGGGAGCCACUGGGUGCCGCCCAUGUUGGUGGGGCGGCUCCGACACUCAAUCAACUGAGCCCAUCCGGCGGUGAGUCUACGCGGAUGCCGGGGGCCGAGAAAUACACUCGUAGACUGCGCUCGGAGAAGAAUUCGGGGUCGGCUAUUGGACGGGGGUUCGAUUCCCCCCAUCUCCACCC